GACGAACGCUGGCGGCGUGCUUAACACAUGCAAGUCGAACGGUAAGGCCCUUCGGGGUACACGAGUGGCGAACGGGUGAGUAACACGUGGGUGAUCUGCCCUGCACUUCGGGAUAAGCCUGGGAAACUGGGUCUAACACCGGAUAGGACCACUGCCUGCAUGGGUGGUGGUGGAAAGCUUUUGCGGUGGGGGAUGGGCCCGCGGCCUAUCAGCUUGUUGGUGGGGUGAUGGCCUACCAAGGCGACGACGGGUAGCCGGCCUGAGAGGGUGACCGGCCACACUGGGACUGAGAUACGGCCCAGACUCCUACGGGAGGCAGCAGUGGGGAAUAUUGCACAAUGGGCGCAAGCCUGAUGCAGCGACGCCGCGUGAGGGAUGACGGCCUUCGGGUUGUAAACCUCUUUCAGCAUCGACGAAGCGCAAGUGACGGUAGGUGCAGAAGAAGGACCGGCCAACUACGUGCCAGCCGCCGCCGUAA
Molecule: ribosomal RNA, 478 nt
Filed under: uncultured bacterium
Lineage: Bacteria
Description: partial 16S ribosomal RNA
Rfam family: Bacterial small subunit ribosomal RNA
Source: RNAcentral